GACGAACGCUGGCGGCGUGCUUAACACAUGCAAGUCGAACGGUGAUGCUCCAGCUUGCUGGAGUGGAUCAGUGGCGAACGGGUGAGUAACACGUGAGCAACCUGCCCCAGACUCUGGAAUAAGCGCUGGAAACGGCGUCUAAUACUGGAUACGAAACUGGCCCGCAUGGGCAUGGUUUGGAAAGUUUUUCGGUUUGGGAUGGGCUCGCGGCCUAGCAGCUUGUUGGUGAGGUAAUGGCUCACCAAGGCGACGACGGGUAGCCGGCCUGAGAGGGCGACCGGCCACACUGGGACUGAGAAACGGCCCAGACUCCUACGGGAGGCAGCAGUGGGGAAUAUUGCACAAUGGGCGGAAGCCUGAUGCAGCGACGCCGCGUGAGGGAUGACGGCCUUCGGGUUGUAAACCUCUUUCAGCAGGGAAGAAGCGAAAGUGACGGUACCUGCAGAAGAAGCACCGGCUAACUACGUG
RNAcentral lists this ribosomal RNA (468 nucleotides) under uncultured bacterium. Its description in RNAcentral is "partial 16S ribosomal RNA". It matches the Rfam family "Bacterial small subunit ribosomal RNA", at positions 28 to 507 of the family's 1533-position model. The record is from RNAcentral.